Molecule: ribosomal RNA, 405 nt
Filed under: uncultured bacterium
Lineage: Bacteria
Description: bacterial SSU rRNA
Rfam family: Bacterial small subunit ribosomal RNA
Source: RNAcentral
GUUUGAUCCUGGCUCAGAUUGAACGCUGGCGGAAUGCUUUACACAUGCAAGUCGAACGGCAGCACGGGGCAACCUGGUGGCGAGUGGCGAACGGGUGAGUAAUACAUCGGAACGUGCCCAGUCGUGGGGGAUAACGUAGCGAAAGUUACGCUAAUACCGCAUACGAUCUAUGGAUGAAAGCGGGGGAUCGCAAGACCUCGCGCGAUUGGAGCGGCCGAUGUCAGAUUAGGUAGUUGGUGGGGUAAAGGCCUACCAAGCCGACGAUCUGUAGCUGGUCUGAGAGGACGACCAGCCACACUGGGACUGAGACACGGCCCAGACUCCUACGGGAGGCAGCAGUGGGGAAUUUUGGACAAUGGGCGCAAGCCUGAUCCAGCCAUUCCGCGUGCAGGAUGAAGGCCUCGG